Bufo bufo (common toad) is the source of this 146-nucleotide long non-coding RNA. RefSeq lists it as uncharacterized. The record is from RefSeq and is a predicted model, not a curated record. Lineage: Eukaryota; Metazoa; Chordata; Amphibia; Anura; Bufonidae. The transcript has 3 exons.
CAGCCAGAGUAACAGUGUAAAUUGACCAGCAUGCACUUUCUAUAAUACCGGUGACUUCUUAUGUGGCACAAGGGUUUUUGGGCCUCCUCAGACUCCUGGGCCCGGUAGCAACUGCUGCCUCUGCACCUCUUAUAGCUACGCCCUUG